AUAUCCCUGCGGUGUUCGUCGGCGAUUGAUGAUUAUUGAACCAACACCAAUCCUAAGGGAGCCCAUCUUCAGGCGAGCCUUUUGGGCCGCUGAGAGGGCACCCACGUGUCUGAACGGGUUCAGACCACCUAGCUGACGGCAGUUGCGGGGAUUUU
RNAcentral lists this non-coding RNA (155 nucleotides) under Candidatus Phelpsiimicrobium noxiivivens. RNAcentral describes it as "Candidatus Omnitrophica bacterium CG1_02_44_16 6S RNA". It matches the Rfam family "6S / SsrS RNA". From Rfam's summary of the family: E. coli 6S RNA was the first non coding RNA to be sequenced, but its function was unknown until recently. It consists of 184 nucleotides that fold into an extended hairpin structure with a large single-stranded internal bulge. The record is from RNAcentral. Lineage: Bacteria; Pseudomonadati; Candidatus Omnitrophota. RNAcentral also lists the same sequence under 2 other names.